This 856-nucleotide ribosomal RNA is filed under the name uncultured bacterium. RNAcentral's name for it is "bacterial SSU rRNA". It matches the Rfam family "Bacterial small subunit ribosomal RNA", at positions 60 to 914 of the family's 1533-position model. The record is from RNAcentral.
AGUCGAACGGCAGCGCGGGGUAACCUGGCGGCGAGUGGCGAACGGGUGAGUAAUAUAUCGGAACGUACCCAAGAGUGGGGGAUAACGUAGCGAAAGUUACGCUAAUACCGCAUACGAUCUAAGGAUGAAAGUGGGGGAUCGCAAGACCUCAUGCUCCUGGAGCGGCCGAUAUCUGAUUAGCUAGUUGGUGAGGUAAAGGCUCACCAAGGCGACGAUCAGUAGCUGGUCUGAGAGGACGACCAGCCACACUGGAACUGAGACACGGUCCAGACUCCUACGGGAGGCAGCAGUGGGGAAUUUUGGACAAUGGGCGCAAGCCUGAUCCAGCAAUGCCGCGUGAGUGAAGAAGGCCUUCGGGUUGUAAAGCUCUUUUGUCAGGGAAGAAACGGUUGGGGCUAAUAUCCUCGGCUAAUGACGGUACCUGAAGAAUAAGCACCGGCUAACUACGUGCCAGCAGCCGCGGUAAUACGUAGGGUGCAAGCGUUAAUCGGAAUUACUGGGCGUAAAGCGUGCGCAGGCGGUUUUGUAAGUCUGUCGUGAAAGCCCCGGGCUCAACCUGGGAAUUGCGAUGGAGACUGCAAGGCUUGAAUCUGGCAGAGGGGGGUAGAAUUCCACGUGUAGCAGUGAAAUGCGUAGAGAUGUGGAGGAACACCGAUGGCGAAGGCAGCCCCCUGGGUCAAGAUUGACGCUCAUGCACGAAAGCGUGGGGAGCAAACAGGAUUAGAUACCCUGGUAGUCCACGCCCUAAACGAUGUCUACUAGUUGUCGGGUCUUAAUUGACUUGGUAACGCACCUAACGCGUGAAGUAGACCGCCUGGGGAGUACGGUCGCAAGAUUAAAACUCAAAGGAAUUGAC